AUACCUUUCUCGGCCUUUUGGCUAAGAUCAAGUGUAGUAUCUGUUCUUAUCAGUUUAAUAUCUGAUAUGUGGACCAUUGGUCCACACGAUAUUAAAUUUAUUUUUUAAGGGGGAAGGCUUAUCAAAUAGCUUGCUACUUGGGCAUUUGUGUGUCGCCCAUGCGUUGCACUACUGCUCGGGCCUGGCACACCCCAC
Small nuclear RNA from Salvia splendens (bonfire salvia), 195 nucleotides. RefSeq annotates it as U2 spliceosomal RNA. Lineage: Eukaryota; Viridiplantae; Streptophyta; Magnoliopsida; Lamiales; Lamiaceae. The record is from RefSeq and is a predicted model, not a curated record. The transcript has a single exon.